AUUGAACGCUGGCGGCAGGCCUAACACAUGCAAGUCGAACGGUAACAGGAAGCAGCUUGCUGCUUUGCUGACGAGUGGCGGACGGGUGAGUAAUGUCUGUGAAACUGCCCUAUGGAGGGGGAUAACUACUGGAAACGGUAGCGAAUACCGCAUAACGUCGCAAGACCAAAGAGGGGGACCUUAGGGCCUCUUGCCAUCUUAUGUGCCCAGAUGGGAUUAGCUAGUAGGUGGGGUAACGGCUCACCUAGGCGACGAUCCCUAGCUGGUCUGAGAGGAUGACCAGCCACACUGGAACUGAGACACGGUCCAGACUCCUACGGGAGGCAGCAGUGGGGAAUAUUGCACAAUGGGCGCAAGCCUGAUGCAGCCAUGCCGCGUGUAUGAAGAAGGCCUUCGGGUUGUAAAGUACUUUCAGCGGGGAGGAAGGGAGUAAAGUUAAUACCUUUGCUCAUUGACGUUACCCGCAGAAGAAGCACCGGCUAACUUCGUG
RNAcentral lists this ribosomal RNA (490 nucleotides) under uncultured bacterium. Its description in RNAcentral is "partial 16S ribosomal RNA". It matches the Rfam family "Bacterial small subunit ribosomal RNA", at positions 30 to 507 of the family's 1533-position model. The record is from RNAcentral.